This 254-nucleotide ribosomal RNA is filed under the name uncultured bacterium. Its description in RNAcentral is "partial 16S ribosomal RNA". It matches the Rfam family "Bacterial small subunit ribosomal RNA", at positions 524 to 776 of the family's 1533-position model. The record is from RNAcentral.
UACGGGGGGAGCAAGCGUUGUUCGGAUUUACUGGGCGUAAGGGGCGCGUAGGCGGCCAGCGCAAGUCAGUUGUGAAAUCUCCGGGCUUAACUCGGAACGGUCAACUGAUACUGCGCGGCUAGAGUGCAGAAGGGGCAACUGGAAUUCUCGGUGUAGCGGUGAAAUGCGUAGAUAUCGAGAGGAACACCUGCGGCGAAGGCGGGUUGCUGGGCUGACACUGACGCUGAUGCGCGAAAGCCAGGGGAGCGAACGGG